RNAcentral lists this non-coding RNA (27 nucleotides) under Rattus norvegicus (Norway rat). Lineage: Eukaryota; Metazoa; Chordata; Mammalia; Rodentia; Muridae. The record is from RNAcentral.
UGAGAAGCCCUUCAGAUUGUGUGAUAC